RNAcentral lists this long non-coding RNA (227 nucleotides) under Setaria italica (foxtail millet). RNAcentral describes it as "long non-coding RNA (SITA_LNC004645)". Lineage: Eukaryota; Viridiplantae; Streptophyta; Magnoliopsida; Poales; Poaceae. The record is from RNAcentral.
GUACAUUUUAUUUUAUUGCAUUUUAUUUAUGUAUGACAGUUGUAUCUUACAUUUCGUUUAAGUCAAUGUUCACAGAUGUCUUCAAGUGAGUCUGAUGAAUCUAAUGAGUCUCAUGGUGAAUUUUUUUUAAUAUGGUUGAGAGCUGUGGUAAGCUAGCACAAAGUUAUCAUGACUCAUAUGUGGAUAAGGCACCGUCGAGGUUUAUGUUUUCACAACAAAGUGGAAUG